UCGUCGCCUGUUUAUCAAAAACAUCGCCUCUUGUAUACUAAAAAUAAGAGGUACUGCCUGCCCAGUGACAAUCAGUUUAACGGCCGCGGUAUCCUGACCGUGCAAAGGUAGCGCAAUCACUUGUCUUUUAAAUGAAGACCCGUAUGAAUGGCAAAACGAGGGCUUAACUGUCUCCUUAAUCCAGUCAAUGAAAUUAACCUCCCCGUGCAGAGGCGGGGAUAGUAACAUAAGACGAGAAGACCCUAUGGAGCUUCAGACGCCAGACAGACCACGUCAACCACCUUAAAACAAAAUCACGAACUUAAUGGCUACUGUCUCCAUGUCUUCGGUUGGGGCGACCAUGGGGAAAAAUAUAACCCCCACGUGGACUGAGAGCAAACACCCACUUAUCACUCCCAAAACCAAGAGAUUCUCAUAAAAUAAACAGAAUUUUU
Molecule: ribosomal RNA, 434 nt
Filed under: Brachirus orientalis (oriental sole)
Lineage: Eukaryota; Metazoa; Chordata; Actinopteri; Pleuronectiformes; Soleidae
Description: partial large subunit ribosomal RNA
Rfam family: Bacterial large subunit ribosomal RNA
Source: RNAcentral